RNAcentral lists this non-coding RNA (30 nucleotides) under Mus musculus (house mouse). Lineage: Eukaryota; Metazoa; Chordata; Mammalia; Rodentia; Muridae. The record is from RNAcentral.
UAUUAUUUAAAAAGGAAACAAUGGAUUUGA